GCCCUUGUAGUUUAAUGGAUAGAAUACGCCCCUCCGAAGGGUGAGAUCCAGGUUCAAAUCCCGGCAAGGGCA
RNAcentral lists this transfer RNA (72 nucleotides) under Candidatus Woesebacteria bacterium. Its description in RNAcentral is "tRNA-Arg". It matches the Rfam family "tRNA". From Rfam's summary of the family: Transfer RNA (tRNA) molecules are approximately 80 nucleotides in length. Their secondary structure includes four short double-helical elements and three loops (D, anti-codon, and T loops). The record is from RNAcentral. Lineage: Bacteria; Candidatus Woeseibacteriota.